CAGAUGUGUCUGCAGGGAGGACUUUUCCUGCUCCUUUGCUGAUUCCUACAAAGAAGACUGGUUCCCAUGGCAGGGGUCCUCUGAGAGGGAAGAGCAAAGGCAAACGACAGAAGAAACCCCACGAGCCAAACAACAUCCUGAAACACAUCGUGACAGAACUGCAGAAAGGGCAUGGGAUGGACAGAGAGGCUCUGUGGAAGGUGGCAUUUCCUGAAGGAAGGGAAGAGAUGCCAGGCACAGUCCCAGAAGGUAA
Molecule: long non-coding RNA, 253 nt
Organism: Passer domesticus (house sparrow)
Lineage: Eukaryota; Metazoa; Chordata; Aves; Passeriformes; Passeridae
Exons: 3
Source: RefSeq, a predicted model, not a curated record